Molecule: non-coding RNA, 31 nt
Filed under: Mus musculus (house mouse)
Lineage: Eukaryota; Metazoa; Chordata; Mammalia; Rodentia; Muridae
Source: RNAcentral
UGUCUCACAUCUCCCUGUCUUCCUCUGGAAU